UACGUAGGCAGCGAGCGUUGUUCGGAGUUACUGGGCGUAAAGGGCGUGUAGGCGGUUGUUUAAGUUUGGUGUGAAAUCUCCCGGCUCAACUGGGAGGGUGCGCCGAAUACUGAAUGACUUGGAGUGCGGGAGAGGAGAGUGGAAUUCCUGGUGUAGCGGUGAAAUGCGUAGAUAUCAGGAGGAACACCGGUGGUGUAGACGGCUCUCUGGACCGUAACUGACGCUGAAACACGAAAGCGUGGGUAGCAAACAGG
This 254-nucleotide ribosomal RNA is filed under the name uncultured bacterium. RNAcentral describes it as "partial 16S ribosomal RNA". It matches the Rfam family "Bacterial small subunit ribosomal RNA", at positions 524 to 776 of the family's 1533-position model. The record is from RNAcentral.